Non-coding RNA from Nicotiana tabacum (common tobacco), 597 nucleotides. NCBI's taxonomy places the organism in Eukaryota, Viridiplantae, Streptophyta, Magnoliopsida, Solanales, Solanaceae. The record is from RefSeq and is a predicted model, not a curated record.
CUGAUGACCUUAUUAAAUUAUCUUCUUAAAUUGCUGUCAAGUUUUGUUGAUUGCUUGAUUACUACUUUUGCAGGAGUCAAGCAAGAGUAUCCAGAUAGAAGCAUUCCAUGUUUUCAAGUUAUUUGCUGCAAACCAGAACAAGCCUCCAGAUAUUGUUAGCAUCCUUGUCGCUAGCAGAAGCAAGCUCCUGCGCCUCUUUGCUGAUUUUAAGACUGACAAAGAUACGUACACAGUAGAUAUCGAUUAAGAAUAGAGGAUAAGCAGUUUGAGGCUGAGAAAACGCAGGUUGUCAAAGAAAUUGCAGCUCUUGAAACCAAGGAACUCUCUUGAACUCAGACUAGGUAGUUCCUCAACUAUCAGGUGAUGUUGUUGUAUGUGUAAAUGAAAGAGGGUGUUUUCUCACUGGACGAUAUUUUACUGAAUUAUUAGUCUUAAUUCUUGAAAUAACUAUUUAAAUGUCGCCUUAUUUUUCGUGGUUGUUUGUCACUUGUCCUUGUUCCUGAUCGCCAUGAUCUAUCCAAGAACUUAUCAGAGUCUGCUGCUCCUCUUUGAAGGAUAUGGAGAAUAUAAGCGUCUGUUCUGAUUCCUGAACUUCUU